AGGAUAAUAGUUUAAAAAAAACAUUUAAAUUGCAAUUAAAAAUUAUUUUAUUGAUUUAUCUU
Molecule: transfer RNA, 62 nt
Filed under: Hylastes ater
Lineage: Eukaryota; Metazoa; Arthropoda; Insecta; Coleoptera; Curculionidae
Description: tRNA-Ala
Source: RNAcentral